GCUGCAGGUGACACAUUCGCUGUCUCAUGGUUGUGACAGAGGAAAGUCCGGACAGCAAAGAGCGCCGCACCACCUAACGGGUGGUUCAGAUACUGAUUGUUCAGUAACUGGAAGAGAGUGCCACAGAAAAUUACCGCUUCUAUAACUCGGAGUAAGGGUGAAAAUGUGAGGUAAGAGCUCACGAUCCGAUUCAGCAAUGAACCGGAGGGGUAUACCUUGCGGGCUGUAAGGUCAAAUAUACUUCGGUCGGUUUGCUGUUUCAGCAAUCGAUAAGGCUGCUCGUUUUAUUCAUGCACGUUCAUGAUCCGAAGGUGGGUAGACCGCUUGAUCCUUGAUGGCAACAUCAGGACCAGAUAAAUGAAUGUGGAGAUUUCAUAACUGGAAUCUCAGUUUACAGAAUCCGGCUUAUGAUCCUGCAGCAUUU
This 424-nucleotide RNase P RNA is filed under the name Chitinophagales bacterium. Its description in RNAcentral is "RNase P RNA component class A". It matches the Rfam family "Bacterial RNase P class A". Rfam says of the family: Ribonuclease P (RNase P) is a ubiquitous endoribonuclease, found in archaea, bacteria and eukarya as well as chloroplasts and mitochondria. The record is from RNAcentral. Lineage: Bacteria; Pseudomonadati; Bacteroidota; Chitinophagia; Chitinophagales.